Molecule: RNA transcript, 2967 nt
Organism: Homo sapiens (human)
Lineage: Eukaryota; Metazoa; Chordata; Mammalia; Primates; Hominidae
Gene: ALG2
Gene name: ALG2 alpha-1,3/1,6-mannosyltransferase
Exons: 3
Source: RefSeq, marked reviewed
GCAGAAGACCCCCAUCAGGGUGCGGGGUGCAGUUGCGGCUCCAGGGCCAUGGCGGAGGAGCAGGGCCGGGAACGGGACUCGGUUCCCAAGCCGUCGGUGCUGUUCCUCCACCCAGACCUGGGCGUGGGCGGCGCUGAGCGGCUGGUGUUGGACGCGGCGCUGGCGCUGCAGGCGCGCGGGUGUAGCGUGAAGAUCUGGACAGCGCACUACGACCCGGGCCACUGUUUCGCCGAGAGCCGCGAGCUACCGGUGCGCUGUGCCGGGGACUGGCUGCCGCGAGGCCUGGGCUGGGGCGGCCGCGGCGCCGCCGUCUGCGCCUACGUGCGCAUGGUUUUCCUGGCGCUCUACGUGCUGUUCCUCGCCGACGAGGAGUUCGACGUGGUAGUGUGCGACCAGGCCAUUUGCAUCCCACUGUCCUUGUGUUCGGAGCCAGGCCACACCGUCCUCAGCAGUGUCAUGUGUUAAAAACGCCAAGCUGAAUAUAUCAUGCCCCUAUUAAAACUUGUACAUGGCUCCCCAUUGGUUUUUGGAGAAAAGUUCAAGCUUUUUACCUUGGUGUCUGCCUGUAUCCCAGUGUUCAGGCUGGCUAGACGGCGGAAGAAGAUCCUAUUUUACUGUCACUUCCCAGAUCUGCUUCUCACCAAGAGAGAUUCUUUUCUUAAACGACUAUACAGGGCCCCAAUUGACUGGAUAGAGGAAUACACCACAGGCAUGGCAGACUGCAUCUUAGUCAACAGCCAGUUCACAGCUGCUGUUUUUAAGGAAACAUUCAAGUCCCUGUCUCACAUAGACCCUGAUGUCCUCUAUCCAUCUCUAAAUGUCACCAGCUUUGACUCAGUUGUUCCUGAAAAGCUGGAUGACCUAGUCCCCAAGGGGAAAAAAUUCCUGCUGCUCUCCAUCAACAGAUACGAAAGGAAGAAAAAUCUGACUUUGGCACUGGAAGCCCUAGUACAGCUGCGUGGAAGAUUGACAUCCCAAGAUUGGGAGAGGGUUCAUCUGAUCGUGGCAGGUGGUUAUGACGAGAGAGUCCUGGAGAAUGUGGAACAUUAUCAGGAAUUGAAGAAAAUGGUCCAACAGUCCGACCUUGGCCAGUAUGUGACCUUCUUGAGGUCUUUCUCAGACAAACAGAAAAUCUCCCUCCUCCACAGCUGCACGUGUGUGCUUUACACACCAAGCAAUGAGCACUUUGGCAUUGUCCCUCUGGAAGCCAUGUACAUGCAGUGCCCAGUCAUUGCUGUUAAUUCGGGUGGACCCUUGGAGUCCAUUGACCACAGUGUCACAGGGUUUCUGUGUGAGCCUGACCCGGUGCACUUCUCAGAAGCAAUAGAAAAGUUCAUCCGUGAACCUUCCUUAAAAGCCACCAUGGGCCUGGCUGGAAGAGCCAGAGUGAAGGAAAAAUUUUCCCCUGAAGCAUUUACAGAACAGCUCUACCGAUAUGUUACCAAACUGCUGGUAUAAUCAGAUUGUUUUUAAGAUCUCCAUUAAUGUCAUUUUUAUGGAUUGUAGACCCAGUUUUGAAACCAAAAAAGAAACCUAGAAUCUAAUGCAGAAGAGAUCUUUUAAAAAAUAAACUUGAGUCUUGAAUGUGAGCCACUUUCCUAUAUACCACACCUCCCUGUCCACUUUUCAGAAAAACCAUGUCUUUUAUGCUAUAAUCAUUCCAAAUUUUGCCAGUGUUAAGUUACAAAUGUGGUGUCAUUCCAUGUUCAGCAGAGUAUUUUAAUUAUAUUUUCUCGGGAUUAUUGCUCUUCUGUCUAUAAAUUUUGAAUGAUACUGUGCCUUAAUUGGUUUUCAUAGUUUAAGUGUGUAUCAUUAUCAAAGUUGAUUAAUUUGGCUUCAUAGUAUAAUGAGAGCAGGGCUAUUGUAGUUCCCAGAUUCAAUCCACCGAAGUGUUCACUGUCAUCUGUUAGGGAAUUUUUGUUUGUCCUGUCUUUGCCUGGAUCCAUAGCGAGAGUGCUCUGUAUUUUUUUUAAGAUAAUUUGUAUUUUUGCACACUGAGAUAUAAUAAAAGGUGUUUAUCAUAAAAAAGAAACAGUAUUAGAUUUUGGUCUCCAUAAUCUAUUUUGGUAUUGUUACGAACAUGGAUAUGACAACCAAACUGGAAAUCAGAACACUAGGGUAAAGUGGAUAUUGAAAUGAAGCAAGAAUAUUGUCACACAUGUGUUGUGCAUCUUGUUUAGGGUAUAUUUCUUAAUGUCAUCUAGGUCAUUAGUUUUGUUAAUAUUUGUGUUGUCUUGACCAAGCUCCUACUAAGUAUAGGACACAAAUGUUUUUUAUCUUCCAAGGCCUGGCUCAAAUGCCACUGCUGCAAAGCUUUCUUUGACCCUCUGGCCACCUCCCAAGCCAGAAGUUAUCUUCCCCCUCCAUGUACUCUAGCCUUUUCAUGACACUGAUAUUUUCGUGACACUGACUUAUAGUUCACUGUUUACCUGUUGGUCUAACAGCAAAUCAUAAACAGUAGUUUUCAACAUACUUCUAAGGCUAAAUUCAUUUCCAGAAGUAGCAAAGCUUACUAGCCAAAGGCUCCACAUUUAUCAACUCUUAAGAGCUAGACUUGAGAGCCUAACAGCCUAUAUGAUUUUGUGUAAAUUGAUCUCUAUACCUCAGCUUCUUCAUCUGCAAAGUGAGAUAAUUGUACUAUUCUACUUUCCUCAUAGUGCGGUUAUAACAGAUUAUGAUAAUAUUACAAAGUACUUAAUACUUGGCAUAUAGUAUAUAUAUUAGCUAUUAGUAUUUUGCAAUUUGGGGAUAUUGAAAAUUAGAAAUUGCAUGUUAGUUCAUGCUGCACUACCAUAUUGUUCUUUUGGGGCUCUUCAAUGGGUGAAAUUCCAUUUUACAGUUUAUCAUGUGCAUCUGUAUCACAGGAGUAUUUUGGCAAAAUGAUUCUGUACCAAAAAGGAGUACUAUAAAAUGAGGGUGCCAAAUAUAUUGAGUCUUUUAUGGGAUUAAAAGUUCUGUUGCAUUCCA